Molecule: ribosomal RNA, 393 nt
Filed under: Enterobacter sp. 10-1
Lineage: Bacteria; Pseudomonadati; Pseudomonadota; Gammaproteobacteria; Enterobacterales; Enterobacteriaceae
Description: bacterial SSU rRNA
Rfam family: Bacterial small subunit ribosomal RNA
Source: RNAcentral
ACUUAAAUUGAAGAGUUUGAUCAUGGCUCAGAUUGAACGCUGGCGGCAGGCCUAACACAUGCAAGUCGAACGGUAGCACAGAGAGCUUGCUCUCGGGUGACGAGUGGCGGACGGGUGAGUAAUGUCUGGGAAACUGCCUGAUGGAGGGGGAUAACUACUGGAAACGGUAGCUAAUACCGCAUAACGUCGCGAGACCAAAGUGGGGGACCUUCGGGCCUCAUGCCAUCAGAUGUGCCCAGAUGGGAUUAGCUUGUAGGUGAGGUAACGGCUCACCUAGGCGACGAUCCCUAGCUGGUCUGAGAGGAUGACCAGCCACACUGGAACUGAGACACGGUCCAGACUCCUACGGGAGGCAGCAGUGGGGAAUAUUGCACAAUGGGCGCAAGCCUGAUG